UACAAGAAAAAAGGUAUAUCACGACAGGCAAACUGCAGCGGUUGCAUUCUAGCCGUCGUCGCUUUUCCCUUUUGUGGCAGUUACUGUAGCAGUUCCUUUCCGCCGUCGCAUUUUUCCCCUUUUGCAUCUUAUCUCUUUAAUCUACCCAAACCCAAACACUUCAUUAACCCAAAUCCCUAAUCGAUUUCAGUUUUCCUUCUCGUCUCAGAUCUGUACUCUUCGAACCCAAAUCGAUUUCAGUUCGUCAAACCCAAAUCACUUCAUGCCUCAGAUCUUCGAUUUCUCUCUUCACACACCUUGAAUCCCUAAUAAAUUUCGAAAUUUCCCUAUCUCACGGAAUGCUUAACUUCGAAAUUUCGAUUCAUUAUGUCUUCUCAACGCUCUCUGCUUUCUCUGAUUUUGUUUUCAUUGUAAACAGUGAGUUGGUUGAUUUCAUUGUGAUUUUGUGCAUAUACGUAGUUAUUCGAACCACCUAUAUGUGGGGUUUUCUAUGAUUGCUUGAUUUCUAACAGUUGCAUUUUGUUUGUACUAACUUUUGUUUGAAUUUGUCACUUUGUUCUUAUAUUGGUGUUUACUAUUUUUUGCUUUUGUUUCUAGCUGUGUAACAAGAUUUCUAAACCCCUAUUUAUGUUGUUUCUAAACCUGCAUCGGUUAAUUGCUAAAGCAGUUUAUGUAAUAUUUAUGAACAUCUAUGAACUCUGAUUUUGAUGUGUUUGUUGGAGUGAAUUUGAAUUAGGGGUUGAAUCAUGAUGAUGGAGUGUUGUGUUUGGGAUUACACCUUUUCAGUUUCUCCAAAUGAAAGAUUUUUAUAAGUUUGGUGUGUGUAUUGCAAAAAGUGAUUGUUUAUAGUUCCAGUCACCAUGGCAUUGUUCCUCUUUGUAUAUGCUCCUUAUUAGAUUCUUAAUAGUUUUAAAUGAAUUUUCACUUUGAAUUUGAAAAAUUUGACAAGAUUGCUGCAUGUUAAGUUGAGACAGCUUUAUGCAAGAUUUGCUUCAAAUUUUGGGACUGAUUCUUAGAAGAGUGAUUCUGGCAAGAGGAACCCCAACAACCAAAUGCUUGGAAGGCCUGUGAAUUGCAAUGGAGGCUUGCAAUAGCUUUGCAGUAACUUAUGUUCCAUUAGAUGGCACUCUUGGUCCUUAUGCUGUGGAGUUUAUCAUAAACCAUGCUGAAGUUUCAAUUGCAUUUCUACAAGAAAAUAAGAUCCCAUCAGUAUGUGCUAGUUCUUUCUUUGAGCUUAAUGUUUUGUUUUCACUAUUGAAAUAUGAAAUGUCUUCCACAUUUAAUUGUUCUACCGUUUAAAUCUUCUGAGAUAGAAAUAAGCAUCUAUCUUUUUAUUUCUUCCUAAACUUAUUUUCAUAGAUUUUGUCAUGUCUUGAUCACUAUUCUUUAAAUCUCAAAAGUAGGUCAAGCAUUAUUGUCUUAUUUACUCACAGUCCAGAUUUUGUCAUGUCUUGCUUUACCUGAAUCAUCUUUGAACUUUUCUCGCUAUGACGGUAUCAGGUCAGUGGUUGACUCCCCAUGUAACCCCCCCCCCCUCUCUCUCUCUCCCUCCAUAUACACACACAACUGAACACAGUGUUUUGUAAUGUUCUUAUUUUCAUUGAUAAAUAAUUUUGUUUGGCUUGGAUCCAUUUUAUCUAUUCUAGAUAUGGAAACAAGUUUACGUUGAUUAGUUGGACUCUCUCUUUGUAGAUUCCUAAGCCAGAGGGUUAAGCUCUGAGGACACUCCUUUCAAUCUUAAUUUCAAAUUUGGCUGGAAGAAUUUUGGUAGCCUUACGUAUUAUACAAAUGCCUAUACAAAAGAAAUGAUCUAAUUUGCUUAAAAAUGAAAGUCCAAUUUGACACGGGUUGCUAAUAUUUAGUUGGCUUUCUAUUUUAUUUCAUUUUCAGGUGACAACGAGAGGUUUGGGAUCUAUAAGAAGACGUUUUAUGUGAGUUAAUGUGUUACAAGCAAUAACCGCUACAAGUAAUAGCUUUAAGGAGGCACUGAAUCAAAAUAAUAUCUUCAUUUCCCUUCAGCUGCUAAUAAAAUUGGUAGAAAGAAAACUGAUCUUUUGGCUAAAUAUGUUGGUGACUUCAUGACUAUAAGUAUUUUUCAUUUUUCUUAUUGGCUAGAUUUUUAUCUCAUACUUCUGAUUUUAUGUGAACUGGUAUUCAACUUCACCAACAAAUAUGAGGUGCUCGUGAUAUUGUCACAAAGCUAGUAGUCAUGGAGUUGCAUAUGGGAAAUGAAGCAGGUCAUGGAGAUGCAUAUUUUUAAUUUUAGUGUUUACCAAAGAAGAAUAGAUACUUAGAUAUCAUAAUUUUGCUGUGUUUGUUAUUAAGUUUGAACCAUUAGCAAACUUAGUAUUUUGAUACUUAAGUAGUCAUUCAUAUAGAUUGUUAUACUGAAUUUUUGCACUAUGUAUGUAAAGCUACCGGAGCUCAUUUGUAUUCGAAUUUAAUGUAUGAAAUUCCAUUUAAAUUUGAAUCGUUAUUUUAUUUUGAA
Long non-coding RNA from Trifolium pratense (red clover), 2488 nucleotides. RefSeq lists it as uncharacterized. NCBI's taxonomy places the organism in Eukaryota, Viridiplantae, Streptophyta, Magnoliopsida, Fabales, Fabaceae. The transcript is spliced from 4 exons. The record is from RefSeq and is a predicted model, not a curated record.